Molecule: ribosomal RNA, 241 nt
Filed under: uncultured bacterium
Lineage: Bacteria
Description: partial 16S ribosomal RNA
Rfam family: Bacterial small subunit ribosomal RNA
Source: RNAcentral
GACGAACCGAGCGAACGUUAUUCGGAAUCACUGGGCUUAAAGGGCGCGUAGGCGGGCCGUCAAGUCGAGGGUGAAAUCCCCAGCUCAACUGGGAAGUGCCUCCGAUACUGGCGGCCUCGAGGGGAUAGGGGCAUGCGGAACUUCCGGUGGAGCGGUGAAAUGCGUAGAUAUCGGAAGGAACACCGGUGGCGAAAGCGGCGAUGCUGGACUCCCUUCUGACGCUGAGGCGCGAAAGCCAGGG